CCUACGGGUGGCAGCAGUGGGGAAUAUUGGACAAUGGGCGAAAGCCUGAUCCAGCCAUGCCGCGUGUGUGAAGAAGGCCUUCGGGUUGUAAAGCACUUUCAGUGGGGAAGAAAGCCUUGGGGCUAAUACCCUCGAGGAAGGACAUCACCCACAGAAGAAGCACCGGCUAACUCCGUGCCAGCAGCCGCGGUAAUACGGAGGGUGCGAGCGUUAAUCGGAAUUACUGGGCGUAAAGCGCGCGUAGGCGGUCUGAUAAGCCGGUUGUGAAAGCCCCGGGCUCAACCUGGGAACGGCAUCCGGAACUGUCAGGCUAGAGUGCAGGAGAGGAAGGUAGAAUUCCCGGUGUAGCGGUGAAAUGCGUAGAGAUCGGGAGGAAUACCAGUGGCGAAGGCGGCCUUCUGGACUGACACUGACGCUGAGGUGCGAAAGCGUGGGUAGCAAACAGGAUUAGAUACCCGAAGUC
RNAcentral lists this ribosomal RNA (463 nucleotides) under Vreelandella stevensii. Its description in RNAcentral is "partial 16S ribosomal RNA". It matches the Rfam family "Bacterial small subunit ribosomal RNA", at positions 338 to 795 of the family's 1533-position model. Lineage: Bacteria; Pseudomonadati; Pseudomonadota; Gammaproteobacteria; Oceanospirillales; Halomonadaceae. The record is from RNAcentral.